GAGUUUGAUCCUGGCUCAGAUUGAACGCUGGCGGCAGGCCUAACACAUGCAAGUCGAGCGGUAGAGAGAAGCUUGCUUCUCUUGAGAGCGGCGGACGGGUGAGUAAUGCCUAGGAAUCUGCCUGGUAGUGGGGGAUAACGUUCGGAAACGGACGCUAAUACCGCAUACGUCCUACGGGAGAAAGCAGGGGACCUUCGGGCCUUGCGCUAUCAGAUGAGCCUAGGUCGGAUUAGCUAGUUGGUGGGGUAAUGGCUCACCAAGGCGACGAUCCGUAACUGGUCUGAGAGGAUGAUCAGUCACACUGGAACUGAGACACGGUCCAGACUCCUACGGGAGGCAGCAGUGGGGAAUAUUGGACAAUGGGCGAAAGCCUGAUCCAGCCAUGCCGCGUGUGUGAAGAAGGUCUUCGGAUUGUAAAGCACUUUAAGUUGGGAGGAAGGGUUGUAGAUUAAUACUCUGCAAUUUUGACGUUACCGACAGAAUAAGCACCGGCUAACUCUGUGCCAGCAGCCGCGGUAAUACAGAGGGUGCAAGCGUUAAUCGGAAUUACUGGGCGUAAAGCGCGCGUAGGUGGUUAGUUAAGUUGGAUGUGAAAUCCCCGGGCUCAACCUGGGAACUGCAUUCAAAACUGACUGACUAGAGUAUGGUAGAGGGUGGUGGAAUUUCCUGUGUAGCGGUGAAAUGCGUAGAUAUAGGAAGGAACACCAGUGGCGAAGGCGACCACCUGGACUGAUACUGACACUGAGGUGCGAAAGCGUGGGGAGCAAACAGGAUUAGAUACCCUGGUAGUCCACGCCGUAAACGAUGUCAACUAGCCGUUGGGAGCCUUGAGCUCUUAGUGGCGCAGCUAACGCAUUAAGUUGA
This 864-nucleotide ribosomal RNA is filed under the name uncultured bacterium. RNAcentral describes it as "bacterial SSU rRNA". It matches the Rfam family "Bacterial small subunit ribosomal RNA", at positions 9 to 868 of the family's 1533-position model. The record is from RNAcentral.